This 468-nucleotide ribosomal RNA is filed under the name uncultured Clostridium sp. RNAcentral describes it as "bacterial SSU rRNA". It matches the Rfam family "Bacterial small subunit ribosomal RNA", at positions 920 to 1382 of the family's 1533-position model. The record is from RNAcentral. Lineage: Bacteria; Bacillati; Bacillota; Clostridia; Eubacteriales; Clostridiaceae.
CCCGCACAAGCGUGGAGUAUGUGGUUUAAUUCGACGCAACGCGCAGAACCUUACCUAGACUUGACAUCCCGGGGAUUUUCUGGAAACAGAGAAGUGCUUUUAGCAAUAAAGAACCCGGUGACAGGUGCUGCAUGGCUGUCGUCAGCUCGUGUCGUGAGAUGUUGGGUUUAAGUCCCGCAACGAGCGCAACCCUUAUCGUUAGUUGCUACCAUUAAGUUGAGCACUCUAGCGAGACUGCCCGGGUUAACCGGGAGGAAGGUGGGGAUGACGUCAAAUCAUCAUGCCCCUUAUGUCUAGGGCUACACACGUGCUACAAUGGUGAGAACAAAGAGAGGCAAGACCGCGAGGUGGAGCAAAUCUCACAAAACUCAUCCCAGUUCGGAUUGCAGGCUGAAACUCGCCUGCAUGAAGCCGGAGUUGCUAGUAAUCGCGAAUCAGCAUGUCGCGGUGAAUACGUUCCCGGGCCUU